AGUGAACGCUGGCGGUAGGCCUAACACAUGCAAGUCGAACGGCAGCACAGUAAGAGCUUGCUCUUACGGGUGGCGAGUGGCGGACGGGUGAGGAAUACAUCGGAAUCUACUUUUUCGUGGGGGAUAACGUAGGGAAACUUACGCUAAUACCGCAUACGACCUACGGGUGAAAGCAGGGGAUCUUCGGACCUUGCGCGAUUGAAUGAGCCGAUGUCGGAUUAGCUAGUUGGGGGGGUAAAGGCCCACCAAGGCGACGAUCCGUAGCUGGUCUGAGAGGAUGGUCAGCCACACUGGAACUUGGACACGGUCCAGACUCCUACGGGAGGCCGCAGUGGGGAAUAUUGGACAAUGGGCGGAAGCCUGAUCCAGCCAUACCGCGUGGGUGAAGAAGGCCUUCGGGUUGUAAAGCCCUUUUGUUGGGAAAGAAAAGCAGCAGGUUAAUACCCCGCUGUUCUGACGGUACCCAAAGAAUAAGCACCGGCUAACUUCGUG
This 492-nucleotide ribosomal RNA is filed under the name uncultured bacterium. Its description in RNAcentral is "partial 16S ribosomal RNA". It matches the Rfam family "Bacterial small subunit ribosomal RNA", at positions 29 to 507 of the family's 1533-position model. The record is from RNAcentral.